Nilaparvata lugens (brown planthopper) is the source of this 402-nucleotide long non-coding RNA. RefSeq lists it as uncharacterized. The record is from RefSeq and is a predicted model, not a curated record. NCBI's taxonomy places the organism in Eukaryota, Metazoa, Arthropoda, Insecta, Hemiptera, Delphacidae. The transcript has 3 exons.
CUAGGUAGUUUUAUUUUUCUACAGCCUUCUCUAGUACAGUAUAUAGCCUUGAUUCAAGUUAUCCCGCUUGAACAAAAUGUGGUGAUUUUUAAAGGAGUAAUGUUGUGUGAAACUGAACUCAAUCGAAAAGUUUAUACUGUAUGUUUUGAAAAAUUGAAAAGUGGAAACUGAAAAGUGAAAAGUGACAGAACAUGACAGAUCUAUCAAAGUAGAGCUUCAGUAACCUUGAACUAUGAUAAUUGUGUUAAUGUUGGUGACAUCAUUGUCAUUGUCGGCAACGCAUGCACAAAAGGCAGAGGUGACGUCAUUGACAGCUGAGCAGGAGACUUGGGUGGCACACAUCAAAGGUGGUCUCCAUCUGGCAAGACAGCUUGCUGCCAAUCACGAUUUCACCCUAGUCGA